This 1110-nucleotide long non-coding RNA is filed under the name Linum usitatissimum (flax). Its description in RNAcentral is "long non-coding RNA (LUSI_LNC004932)". Lineage: Eukaryota; Viridiplantae; Streptophyta; Magnoliopsida; Malpighiales; Linaceae. The record is from RNAcentral.
UACUAAAAUGAAAGCAGAGAGUGCAAUAAGCAUAGCAAGUGAAAAUGGUGGUGAUCGUGGAGAAGCCACUGCCCUUAAAGCGAUUUCCCAGUCACCACAUCAAUGUGAUGAGAAAGCUUCCAAAGGUAAUCACCCAAUGUAAACUUAGUGUUUUCCAGAAGAAUCAAUAAUCUAGAGCUGUCUAUAUCUUCCAGUGAGUGAAGGAGAGAGUUCUUAUAGAACUCGUCCACUCCUGGUUUCUCCUGCUUUUCCGUAAACCACCCCACUACUGAAGCUAAUCAAACGGGGUUUGUUGAGCAACAGACUGGAGGAAGAUCAGAGCAGAAUCAUCAUUUCUUCCUCUGUUCUAACGGUCACAAGAAGGGAGCAGUCCCGUUAGUUGCAACGGUGACGUAUUGCUCUGUUCAUUUCCGGUUUGGGUUGCUCAACCGGUUUCCAGUUCGAGUUCGUUGAAACUGCUUAUUCCUAACAAUUAUUUCCCUUCGGCUCUGGAUGCCGCCUUUCCUUUUGUUGGGUUGACUGGUACCUCGUCUUCUUGGUUACUUGAUUCUCUACCUUCAAUCAUAUGUCGAGUAAUCGAUCUGCUUAUCAAAAUAUCUUCUUGUGAAAUCUUCUAUGGUGGAAGUUGCGAAUGGGACAGUUCGAACUCAAAACAUGACCUUGCCUUUUAUUCUUCAUAUUCCUGCUCUGGUUCCCAAUCUUGUUUCCGAUUGGGAAAUUAACUAACACUGGGUGUAUUGUCUCGUUUGGUCUGGCUGGGUUGGGCGGGUAGGAUCAAUUGAGCCGGCACCAACUGGGAAAGGGAACCAAGCAGGGGAGGAUGUUUAGCUUAAUUGGUUUGCAAGUUCCUGACGUGCCUAUUGGUGGAGUGAAUUCAAGUGGUUCCAGCAGGUUGAAUGUUUUUGAGUUCUAGUAGUAGUUUUUCAGUUUAAUUGUAAAAAACAAAGUUGUGGGAUAUGUGGCAUUUUAAAAUUGGUCAUCCUCAUUCUCCUCGUAUGAAUUAUAUGUUUCAGAAACAGCUAUUACCUACUCAUCUUAAUGUUUCAGAUUUUGAGAUUCAAGAUUGUAUUCCAUGUGUUGAAGCUAAACUUACUGCAUCUUCAUUUCCUA